This 161-nucleotide ribosomal RNA is filed under the name uncultured Bacteroidales bacterium. RNAcentral's name for it is "partial 16S ribosomal RNA". It matches the Rfam family "Bacterial small subunit ribosomal RNA", at positions 346 to 504 of the family's 1533-position model. The record is from RNAcentral. Lineage: Bacteria; Pseudomonadati; Bacteroidota; Bacteroidia; Bacteroidales.
AGGCAGCAGUGAGGAAUAUUGGUCAAUGGGCGAGAGCCUGAACCAGCCAAAUCGCGUGAAGGAUGAAGGUAUUAUGUAUUCUAAACUUCUUUUAUAGGGGAAUAAAGUGCACCACGUGUGGUGUUUUGUAUGUACCCUAGGAAUAAGGAUCGGCUAACUCC